GAGAUCGGGAUAACACCUGGAAACAGAUGCUAAUACCGGAUAACAACAGAUGAUGCCUAUCAACUGUUUAAAAGAUGGUUCUGCUAUCACUCUUGGAUGGACCUGCGGUGCAUUAGCUAGUUGGUAGGUAACGGCCUACCAAGGCGAUGAUGCAUAGCCGAGUUGAGAGACUGAUCGGCCACAUUGGGACUGAGACACGGCCCAAACUCCUACGGGAGGCAGCAGUC
This 227-nucleotide ribosomal RNA is filed under the name uncultured Lactobacillus sp. RNAcentral's name for it is "partial 16S ribosomal RNA". It matches the Rfam family "Bacterial small subunit ribosomal RNA", at positions 134 to 355 of the family's 1533-position model. Lineage: Bacteria; Bacillati; Bacillota; Bacilli; Lactobacillales; Lactobacillaceae. The record is from RNAcentral.